Molecule: ribosomal RNA, 447 nt
Filed under: uncultured bacterium
Lineage: Bacteria
Description: bacterial SSU rRNA
Rfam family: Bacterial small subunit ribosomal RNA
Source: RNAcentral
UGGGGAAUAUUGGACAAUGGGCGCAAGCCUGAUCCAGCCAUGCCGCGUGAACGAUGAAGGCCUUAGGGUUGUAAAGUUCUUUUGUCAGGGAAGAUAAUGACGGUACCUGAAGAAUAAGCACCGGCUAACUUCGUGCCAGCAGCCGCGGUAAUACGAAGGGUGCUAGCGUUGUUCGGAAUCACUGGGCGUAAAGCGCGCGUAGGCGGCUUAACAAGUCAGAGGUGAAAGCCUGGAGCUCAACUCCAGAACUGCCUUUGAAACUGUUAAGCUUGAGUGUCGGAGGGGAUAGCGGAAUUUCUAAUGUAGAGGUGAAAUUCGUAGAUAUUAGAAGGAACACCGGUGGCGAAGGCGGCUAUCUGGACGACAACUGACGCUGAGGCGCGAAAGCGUGGGGAUCAAACAGGAUUAGAUACCCACGUAGUCCCUGAGCGGGCUGGCAAGGCGCAU